Molecule: ribosomal RNA, 469 nt
Filed under: uncultured bacterium
Lineage: Bacteria
Description: partial 16S ribosomal RNA
Rfam family: Bacterial small subunit ribosomal RNA
Source: RNAcentral
GACGAACGCUGGCGGCGUGCUUAACACAUGCAAGUCGAGCGGUGAAGCGAGUGCUUGCACUCGUGGAUCAGUGGCGAACGGGUGAGUAACACGUGAGUAACCUGCCCAUCACUCUGGGAUAAGCACUGGAAACGGUGUCUAAUACUGGAUACGACCAACCCUUGCAUGGGGUGUUGGUGGAAAGAUUUAUCGGUGAUGGAUGGACUCGCGGCCUAUCAGCUUGUUGGCGGGGUAAUGGCCCACCAAGGCGACGACGGGUAGCCGGCCUGAGAGGGUGACCGGCCACAAUGGGACUGAGACACGGCCCAGACUGCAACGGGAGGCAGCAGUGGGGAAUAUUGCACAAUGGGCGAAAGCCUGAUGCAGCGACGCCGCGUGAGGGAUGACGGCCUUCGGGUUGUAAACCUCUUUCAGCAGGGAAGAAGCGAAAGUGACGGUACCUGCAGAAGAAGCACCGGCUAACUACGUG